GAUGAACGCUGGCGGCGUGCCUAAUACAUGCAAGUCGAGCGAACAGACGAGGAGCUUGCUCCUCUGACGUUAGCGGCGGACGGGUGAGUAACACGUGGAUAACCUACCUAUAAGACUGGGAUAACUUCGGGAAACCGGAGCUAAUACCGGAUAAUAUAUUGAACCGCAUGGUUCAAUAGUGAAAGACGGUUUUGCUGUCACUUAUAGAUGGAUCCGCGCCGCAUUAGCUAGUUGGUAAGGUAACGGCUUACCAAGGCAACGAUGCGUAGCCGACCUGAGAGGGUGAUCGGCCACACUGGAACUGAGACACGGUCCAGACUCCUACGGGAGGCAGCAGUAGGGAAUCUUCCGCAAUGGGCGAAAGCCUGACGGAGCAAUGCCGCGUGAGUGAUGAAGGUCUUCGGAUCGUAAAACUCUGUUAUUAGGGAAGAACAAAUGUGUAAGUAACUAUGCACGUCUGGACGGUACCUAAUCAGAAAGCCACGGCGAACUACGU
RNAcentral lists this ribosomal RNA (496 nucleotides) under uncultured bacterium. Its description in RNAcentral is "partial 16S ribosomal RNA". It matches the Rfam family "Bacterial small subunit ribosomal RNA", at positions 28 to 506 of the family's 1533-position model. The record is from RNAcentral.